This 472-nucleotide ribosomal RNA is filed under the name uncultured bacterium. Its description in RNAcentral is "partial 16S ribosomal RNA". It matches the Rfam family "Bacterial small subunit ribosomal RNA", at positions 28 to 507 of the family's 1533-position model. The record is from RNAcentral.
GACGAACGCUGGCGGCGUGCUUAACACAUGCAAGUCGAACGCUGAAGCUUGGUGCUUGCACUGGGUGGAUGAGUGGCGAACGGGUGAGUAAUACGUGAGUAACCUGCCCUUGACUCUGGGAUAAGCCUGGGAAACUGGGUCUAAUACUGGAUACGACAUGUCACCGCAUGGUGGUGUGUGGAAAGGGUUUUACUGGUUUUGGAUGGGCUCACGGCCUAUCAGCUUGUCUGUGGGGUAAUGGCUCACCAAGGCGACGACGGGUAGCCGGCCUGAGAGGGUGACCGGCCACACUGGGCCUGAGACACGGCCCAGUCUCCUACGGGAGGCAGCGGGGGGGAAUAUUGCACAAUGGGCGGGAGCCUGAUGCAGAGACGCCGCGUGAGGGAAGACGGCCUUCGGGUUGUAAACCUCUUUCAGCACGGAAGAAGCGAAAGUGACGGUACGUGCAGAAGAAGCGCCGGCUAACUACGUG